CAUGCAAGUGGAGCGACGAACCGGGGCUUGCCCCGGGGCAGAGCCGCGAACGGGUGAGUAACACGUGGGUUACCUGCCCUGAUGACCGGGACAACCCGUCGAAAGACGGGCUAAUACCGGAUGUGCCCGCAAGGGGAAAGGAGGCGUAAGCUUCCGCAUCGGGAUGGGCCCGCGGAGCAUUAGCUUGUUGGUGAGGUAAAAGCUCACCAAGGCUUCGAUGCUUAGCUGGUCUGAGAGGACGAUCAGCCACACUGGGGCUGAGACACGGCCCAGACUCCUACGGGAGGCAGCAGUGGGGAAUCUUGCGCAAUGCGCGAAAGCGUGACGCAGCAACGCCGCGUGCGGGAAGACGGCCUUCGGGUUGUAAACCGCUUUCAGUUGGGACGAAGGUUCUGCGGUUAAUACCCGUAUGGACUGACGGUACCUUCAGAAGAAGCCCCGGCUAACUACGUGCCAGCAGCCGCGGUAAUACGUAGGGGGCAAGCGUUGUCCGGAAUUAUUGGGCGUAAAGCGCGCGCAGGCGGUUCCUUAAGUCUGAUGUGAAAGCCCACGGCUCAACCGUGGAGGGUCAUUGGAAACUGGGGAACUUGAGUGCAGAAGAGGAGAGCGGAAUUCCACGUGUAGCGGUGAAAUGCGUAGAGAUGUGGAGGAACACCAGUGG
This 661-nucleotide ribosomal RNA is filed under the name uncultured bacterium. RNAcentral describes it as "bacterial SSU rRNA". It matches the Rfam family "Bacterial small subunit ribosomal RNA", at positions 54 to 715 of the family's 1533-position model. The record is from RNAcentral.